GGGGAAUAUUGGACAAUGGGGGGAACCCUGAUCCAGCCAUGCCGCGUGUGUGAAGAAGGCCUUUUGGUUGUAAAGCACUUUAAGUGGGGAGGAGGCUUACCUGGUUAAUACCUGGGCUAAGUGGACGUUACCCACAGAAUAAGCACCGGCUAACUCUGUGCCAGCAGCCGCGGUAAUACAGAGGGUGCGAGCGUUAAUCGGAUUUACUGGGCGUAAAGCGCGCGUAGGUGGUUAAUUAAGUCAAAUGUGAAAUCCCCGAGCUUAACUUGGGAAUUGCAUUCGAUACUGGUUAGCUAGAGUAUGGGAGAGGAUGGUAGAAUUCCAGGUGUAGCGGUGAAAUGCGUAGAGAUCUGGAGGAAUACCGAUGGCGAAGGCAGCCAUCUGGCCUAAUACUGACACUGAGGUGCGAAAGCAUGGGGAGCAAAC
This 426-nucleotide ribosomal RNA is filed under the name uncultured bacterium. RNAcentral's name for it is "bacterial SSU rRNA". It matches the Rfam family "Bacterial small subunit ribosomal RNA", at positions 356 to 773 of the family's 1533-position model. The record is from RNAcentral.